GGGUGCUCGAGUGGCGAACGGGUGAGUAACACGUGAGUAACCUGCCCUUGACUUUGGGAUAACUUCAGGAAACUGGGGCUAAUACCGGAUAGGAGCUCCUGCUGCAUGGUGGGGGUUGGAAAGUUUCGGCGGUUGGGGAUGGACUCGCGGCUUAUCAGCUUGUUGGUGGGGUAGUGGCUUACCAAGGCUUUGACGGGUAGCCGGCCUGAGGGGGUGACCGGCCACAUUGGGACUGAGAUACGGCCCAG
RNAcentral lists this ribosomal RNA (248 nucleotides) under uncultured Actinomycetales bacterium. RNAcentral's name for it is "partial 16S ribosomal RNA". It matches the Rfam family "Bacterial small subunit ribosomal RNA", at positions 85 to 334 of the family's 1533-position model. Lineage: Bacteria; Bacillati; Actinomycetota; Actinomycetes; Actinomycetales. The record is from RNAcentral.